UGGGGAAUAUUGGACAAUGGGCGAAAGCCUGAUCCAGCAAUACCGAGUGAGUGAUGAAGGCCCUAGGGUUGUAAAGCUCUUUUAGCAAGGAAGAUAAUGACGUUACUUGCAGAAAAAGCCCCGGCUAACUCCGUGCCAGCAGCCGCGGUAAGACGGAGGGGGCUAGCGUUGUUCGGAAUUACUGGGCGUAAAGAGUGCGUAGGCGGUUUAGUAAGUUGGAAGUGAAAGCCCGGGGCUUAACCUCGGAAUUGCUUUCAAAACUACUAGUCUAGAGUGUAGUAGGGGAUGAUGGAAUUCCUAGUGUAGAGGUGAAAUUCUUAGAUAUUAGGAGGAACACCGGUGGCGAAGGCGGUCAUCUGGGCUACAACUGACGCUGAUGCACGAAAGCGUGGGGAGCAAACA
RNAcentral lists this ribosomal RNA (402 nucleotides) under uncultured bacterium. Its description in RNAcentral is "bacterial SSU rRNA". It matches the Rfam family "Bacterial small subunit ribosomal RNA", at positions 355 to 774 of the family's 1533-position model. The record is from RNAcentral.